UGGACGUGGAUCCUGAAAACCAGAACUUU
RNAcentral lists this non-coding RNA (29 nucleotides) under Cricetulus griseus (Chinese hamster). The record is from RNAcentral. Lineage: Eukaryota; Metazoa; Chordata; Mammalia; Rodentia; Cricetidae.